Molecule: ribosomal RNA, 474 nt
Filed under: uncultured bacterium
Lineage: Bacteria
Description: partial 16S ribosomal RNA
Rfam family: Bacterial small subunit ribosomal RNA
Source: RNAcentral
GAUGAACGCUAGCGGCAGGCCUAACACAUGCAAGUCGAGGGAGGGGCUUUCGGGCUUCGACCGGCGUACGGGUGCGUAACGCGUAUACAAUCUGCCCUUCACAUAGGGAUAGCCCGAAGAAAUUUGGAUUAAUACCUAAUGGUAUAUAGAGGUGGCAUCACCUUUAUAUUAAAGCUGAGGCGGUGAAAGAUGAGUAUGCGUUCUAUUAGCUAGUUGGAGAGGUAACGGCUCCCCAAGGCGACGAUAGAUAGGGGUUCUGAGAGGGAUAUCCCCCACACUGGUACUGAGAUACGGACCAGACUCCUACGGGAGGCAGCAGUGAGGAAUAUUGGACAAUGGUCGGAAGACUGAUCCAGCCAUGCCGCGUGCAGGAAGACGGCCUUAUGGGUUGUAAACUGCUUUUGCAGGGGAAGAAUAAGGACUACGCGUAGUUUGAUGACGGUACUCUGCGAAUAAGCAUCGGCUAACUCCGUG